Molecule: long non-coding RNA, 3926 nt
Organism: Octopus bimaculoides (California two-spot octopus)
Lineage: Eukaryota; Metazoa; Mollusca; Cephalopoda; Octopoda; Octopodidae
Source: RefSeq, a predicted model, not a curated record
UGAAAAACUAGGCAACGUUUUGCUGUUGGUGUCUUAUACAUAACGUAGACCGUAUGAAGGAGAGAAAUAGAUACAAAGAGGGAGAUAGUUAAGUAGUAUCAGCGUAGUGAGAGAGAGUGAGAGAAACAUUUUGAGAAUCCACCUGAGUCGGACUUGAGUUUGACGUCAUGCAAUGUACAAGCUUUCUCUAAUGAUGGAGGUGGAGUAUUGAGAGAAUGCUAGAUCUAUAACGUAGAGAAGUUAUAGAGACAAUUAAUCUGGUUGCAUUUCAUACUCUUGUCUCUUAAAAUUAUUUUUGUCUUUUCGUUUGUAACUAUACUAAUUUACGUUCAGCUUUCAACAGCUUCUUUUAAUUUCUAUCCUUUAUAUUUUGCUAUUGUAUAAACCAAUGUUUAGUAUCAUGUUUACUUUUUAUACUUGAAAGACCGUUUUAAAUAAAAACGAUAUGUUUAGUCAAUAUUUAGAAAUUUAACAUUAAUUUAGCACAGGUCCAGCAAGUGUUUUUAUGCAUUUCAAAGAAAAAAAUUUUUUUAAUCAAGUAAAUUGCCAAGAAAAUAUCUUGCUGUAAUAUAGUUCUUGGUAUAUUUAAGACAUAAAAUAACGUUGUGCUAAUACUUUUGUUUUAGCUUGUGACUUAAUUUCAUUGACAUUAACCUUGGUUCUUUUUCCUUCAUAUCUUCAGAUUCAAGUAGAUGUUAUUAAUACCAGGUGGAAUAGUAGAGUGAAUAAGCUAUUAGUCUAAAAUUUUGUUCUUUAUCCUGCAUUUUGUCUCUAGAUGGAGCAUUUGAUAAGUAUCAAUUUUGGUGAUUAGAUAGAGUGUGAUGAUAUUGUAUCUGUAUUUAUAGAAACCCUGUUUGUUUUUAUAGUUUAUGCUUUGUAGAUUUGGAUUAAAACAUGUAAUAGAUUAUUUCCUAUGUCUAUCAACUAAAAAUUCACUAAUUGUCAUACUAUUUAAGACUAGCCCAGUAUAGCCUUGACCUAAGGCAAUAAUAAAAAUUUAUUUAUUUGAAUAAACAUUUAUUACCUCUAGAUUGACAACACAAUCUCCAACAGGUAUUUUGUUAUCAGGACGAUUUUACCUGAUUUGAAUGUUUCUUUGAUUUACUAUAUCCAAAAACGAAAUCUAUUUUUUGUCAUCACUUCUAGAUUUCAAGAUACCAUCCCAUACACACAUAAUUUUCACAAUUUUUGUCAAAGUAUGUAAGUUAGUUAUUUUUUUUAAUCAUGCCGACUCAUAAGGGCCAAUUUUUCAACUUCAUGGCAUAUAAAUUCCCCACAUGGACAGGUCCGUCCAUUACAGGAUUGCUACUCAUUUUUGACAGCUAAGUGGACUGGAACAACAUGAAAUGAAGUGUUUUGCUCAAGAACACAAUGCGUUAUCCAUGAAUUGAUACCACAAUCUUAUGAUCAUGAGUCCAACACCCUAAUCACUAAGCCAUGCACCUCCACAAAGUUUGUUAAAGUUCUGUAUAAAAAUGGACCAUGCCUUCACUAUAUCUACAGCACCCUUCCCAAUGUAAGCAGUGAAAUGAUAAGAGCUGAAGUAUUUAAUGUCUCAAAUCAGAAAAUUGAUGAAAGGUGGCUACUCAGUAAAUUCAAUGAAUUGCAUUGAAGCAACAGCAUGGAAAUCAUUUCUAAUAGUUAUAAAUGACUUUCUGAGCAUCAAGAAAGCAGCUAACUAUACCGAAAUAGUCAAUAACAUGAUGGACAAUUUUCAAAAGUUGGGAGCAAAUAUGAGCAUAAAACUGCACUGUCUCCACAGUCACCUUGAUAAAUUCCUUGAAAAUCUUGGUAACCCAUCAGAACAUAAAAUCAAUGGAACAAAUGUAUCAAAGCCGAUGGGACUUAUCUAUGUUGCUGGAACUUGGCUCAUGGUCUUCUUGAGAUUCAGCACUCAAGAAAAUCAUCCAAAUGCAAAUUCAUGAGAAAUUAAACAUAAGCAAUGAUGUAAUUUCUCUGUAGAAAUUUUAGGGAAACAUUCAGGUUUUUGAAGAAAAACCAAUUUCUUUGUAUGUUAUGCCUAUUCCUCAUCAAUUGUUUUAUUGAAAAAAAAAAAUUCUAUGGAUCCAGUCUGUAUACUCUUUUUUACUUGUUUCAGUCAUUUGACUGCGGCGAUGCUGGAGCACCACCUUUAGUCGAGCAAAUCGACCCUAGUACUUAUUCUAUUGGUCUCUUUUACCGAACCGCUAAGUUACGGGGACGUAAACACACCAGCAUCAGUUGUCAAGCAAUGUUGGGGGGACAAACAUAUAUACGACGGGCUUCUUUCAGUUUCUGUCUUACCAAAUCCACUCACAAGUCUUUGGUUGGCCUGAGGCUAUAGUAAAAGACACUUGCCCAAGGUGCCACGCAAUGGGAAUGAACCCGGAACCAUGUGGUUGGUAAGGAAGCUACUUACCACACAGCCACUCCUGCGCCUAUAUCUUAAAAUUUUGAUGUGAUGGUAAUUAUCAUUUUCAGAUUCUGUGUAUCAAAAAACUUUUAAUUUAGGUUCAUAUUUAUUGACAACAGAGUAAAAAAAAUUGUUUGGUCUGUGUAAUUAUUAAUUUCAUGAUCAUUAAUAUUUAUUAUAUUUAGAGUUAUAGGAUACUGAUAUCUAUUUUUGCUUUAUGCUGCAAAAAAUAAAUAUUUUUACUAGCAUUUUAAAUGAUAGCAUAUAUGCAGUUUUUGAUAGUUUCCUAUUUUAAUUCUUUGUGUGUACCUAUGUAUGUAUACACACAAACCUUUUGGUUUCAACUGUGAAGGAAAAAAUUAAACCUCUGUCCUUUGCAUGCCUUCUGAAACUAACCAAUAAGACAAGCAAAGUUAAUGUUCUUAAAUAAUCUGCAAAUCUGCUACUGUAGAGAAAGGAAUUUCAAUGGGGGAAUAUUCUGGGGAUGAAAGGUCUGUGUGUAAUGAUUAGUGCAGGACUUUGUUGGUAGGAAUAGAUUGCUGAUGAGAGGAAGAGUGAUGAGUAAGUGAAGGUGGCAAGGAGUAAAAGCUGCUAUUGUUAGAGAAGAAAGGCAGAAAGAGGAGACAGUGCGUCAUUAGGCUAAAGUCUAGUAUGUUGGUGAAAAAUAUGUCGUAUGAGUUUGUUUUCACUAUCUUCAACCCUUUGCUGUUGAAACAUUUUAGAUUUAGAAUUAAAAGACUUUGUCUAAAUGCCUACUUGCAAAUGCAUGUAGCUUAUUACUGUAGCAGUUCUAAAACAAAAGCUAAUUCCAUCAAAAUAUACAUGUGACAAUUGAGUUGGAAAUAAUAUAUAUGGAGAAUUAAAAGAAUUGAUUGAUACUGAAAAUAUAACACUGUCUAUCAAUUCUUACAAUUGUAUUACUUGGAGUAGUUACUCACUAUCCCAAUUGCAUUCCACUUUCAACAAAAUCUCAUGGAAGCAGUUUCAUGCGUCUUCCUUGCAGGAAGACUCAUGAAACUGCAUGCAUUCUACCUUUGUGUUUGGAACACCAUGUGAUCCUUAUCCAUGCAAGUAUAUUUGAAAUUGUACAUACCUAAUUCGUAAUUUGCAAGAUUUUCAUUGAUGCAAGUAGAAAGAUGCAUUCAACCUGACUGCUAACUCUUAAACGAAGCUGUUUCUCCAACUCCUUCAGACAAAAAGUUUCAGAAAACAAAGAAUUACAGAAAACACAGAAAUGAAUUUAAAUCAAUCUAGUUAUAGUGGGAAAGAGAAGGGUCAUAUUGCUUUGUAAAUUAAAACAAUUUGGAGAGAUUUAUGAGUAGAUUUCACUGGCUGUUUUAAACAGAUUAUCCUUCAAGUUUUGAAAGGCUGGAAUGUAAAUAUAUGGGAGAUCCUUACUGCACUGAACAAAGUGGGGGGGUUUUUUUUUUUGGUGGUUUUUCUUUCUAUUAAAAUAAUUGUUUGAAUGGCAAAAAUGUACAUAAUAAAAUUUUGUAUAUAACAAAUAUUGUAUCAAUAAAGAUUUAAACAAUCA